This 329-nucleotide ribosomal RNA is filed under the name uncultured Sphaerotilus sp. RNAcentral's name for it is "bacterial SSU rRNA". It matches the Rfam family "Bacterial small subunit ribosomal RNA", at positions 1 to 341 of the family's 1533-position model. Lineage: Bacteria; Pseudomonadati; Pseudomonadota; Betaproteobacteria; Burkholderiales; Sphaerotilaceae. The record is from RNAcentral.
UGACGAGUUUGAUCCUGGCUCAGAUUGAACGCUGGCGGUAUGCCUUACACAUGCAAGUCGAACGGUAGAGGGCAACCCUUGAGAGUGGCGAACGGGUGAGUAAUACAUCGGAACGUGUCCAGUCGUGGGGAUAACGUAGCGAAAGCUACGGCUAAUACCGGCAUACGACCCGAGGGUGAAAGCGGGGACUCGCAAGAGCCUCGCGCGAUUGGAGCGGCCGAUGGCAGAUUAGGUAGUUGGUGGGGUAAAGGCUCACCAAGCCAACGAUCUGUAGCUGGUCUGAGAGGACGACCAGCCACACUGGAACUGAGACACGGUCCAGACUCCUA